RNAcentral lists this ribosomal RNA (490 nucleotides) under uncultured organism. Its description in RNAcentral is "bacterial SSU rRNA". It matches the Rfam family "Bacterial small subunit ribosomal RNA", at positions 30 to 507 of the family's 1533-position model. The record is from RNAcentral.
AUUGAACGCUGGCGGCAUGCUUUACACAUGCAAGUCGAACGGCAGCGGGGGGGUGCUUGCGCCUCUGCCGGCGAGUGGCGAACGGGUGAGUAAUGUAUCGGAACGUGCCCAGUAGUGGGGGAUAACUACUCGAAAGAGUAGCUAAUACCGCAUGAGAUCUCUGGAUGAAAGCGGGGGACCGUAAGGCCUCGCGCUACUGGAGCGGCCGAUAUCAGAUUAGGUAGUUGGUGGGGUAAAGGCCUACCAAGCCUGCGAUCUGUAGCUGGUCUGAGAGGACGACCAGCCACACUGGGACUGAGACACGGCCCAGACUCCUACGGGAGGCAGCAGUGGGGAAUUUUGGACAAUGGGCGCAAGCCUGAUCCAGCAAUGCCGCGUGCAGGAUGAAGGCCUUCGGGUUGUAAACUGCUUUUGUACAGAACGAAAAGCUCUUCUCUAAUACAGAGGGGUCAUGACGGUACUGUAAGAAUAAGCACCGGCUAACUACGUG